Molecule: ribosomal RNA, 796 nt
Filed under: uncultured bacterium
Lineage: Bacteria
Description: bacterial SSU rRNA
Rfam family: Bacterial small subunit ribosomal RNA
Source: RNAcentral
AGAGUUUGAUCAUGGCUCAGGGCGAACGCUGGCGGCACGCCUCAUACAUGCAAGUCGAGCGAUCGGAUGCUGGGUGCUUGCACUCGGCAUUACGGAGCGGCGAACGGGUGAGUAACACGUGGGCAACCUACCUCGAGGACGGGGAUAACUCCGGGAAACUGGGGCUAAUACCCGAUGUUCUCUUCGGACCGCAUGGUCUGAUCAGCAAAAGGUUCUUCCGCCUCGGGAGGGGCCCACGGCCUAUCAGCUUGUUGGUGGGGUAACGGCCCACCAAGGCUUUGACGGGUAGCCGGCCUGAGAGGGUGUCCGGCCACAUCGGGACUGAGACACGGCCCGAACUCCUACGGGAGGCAGCAGUAGGGAAUCUUGCACAAUGGGCGCAAGCCUGAUGCAGCGAUGCCGCGUGAGGGAUGAAGGCCUUCGGGUCGUAAACCUCUUUCAGUAGGGAAGAAGCCACGGGUCACCGUGGUGACGGUACCUGCAGAAGAAGCCCCGGCUAACUACGUGCCAGCAGCCGCGGUAAAACGUAGGGGGCGAGCGUUGCCCGGAUUCACUGGGCGUAAAGCGGGUGUAGGCGGUUCCUUAAGUCGGAUGUGAAAUCCUACGGCUCAACCGUGGAACUGCAUCCGAUACUGGGGAACUUGAGGACGGUAGAGGUCGGUGGAAUAUCCGGUGUACCGGUGAAAUGGGCAGAUAUCGGAUAGAACACCAGUGGCGAAGGCGGCCGACUGGGCCGUUCCUGACGCUGAGACCCGAAAGCUAGGGUAGCGAACCGGAUUAGAUACCCUAGUAGUCC